Long non-coding RNA from Nymphaea colorata (pocket water lily), 2464 nucleotides. RefSeq lists it as uncharacterized. The record is from RefSeq and is a predicted model, not a curated record. NCBI's taxonomy places the organism in Eukaryota, Viridiplantae, Streptophyta, Magnoliopsida, Nymphaeales, Nymphaeaceae. The transcript is spliced from 2 exons.
UGAGCCUACAGAAAAGGUGUGAACUCCGGUCACCUCGGUUUCUGCGUUCCUGUUGAUCACUUUGUGAUGCGUGGCUACCUAUGUCGUCUAUCUUCGUUAUUUCAUUGGAAAUGGCUGAAAGCUUGCUCCUUGGAUGGGCAAAGCCACACGUCUCUGUCGAGACGUUCAUCCUCGAUACUCUAAGCGGUAAUCCUGCGGUAUGAGCGUCCACCACGGCUUGCUAGAGGCUGCCCACCAAAUAUUAGAUGAAAUGCCUAAAACGUUUGUUGUCCACUUGGAAACCAUGAUUUCAGAUGUUGUUCAAUUGCCAAAAUGGGUAAAGCACGCAUGUGGGUCGCAAUAUGUUGUAUACGCACGUGGCUCGGAAUGUUGUAUAAUUCCCAAUUGGGUAAUCUAUGCAAGUGCCGCCUCCCCUUAAUCUGUAUUGGAUGUUCCUUGUGCUGAUGACUUCCCGAAGCAAAAUCUUGUCAUGAUUUAGCUUUCAAAGCAAAUUCUCUGGCCGAAGCUUUCAUGUAAAUUUGUUUUUGUGAAGCAAAUAUUUUGAGCUUCGGUGCUACUGUGCUGUUUUGGGGUCUCUGUUUAAGACGCAUAUGUUUAUGCCGGUGAUAAUCUGUGCCAGGUUUCCUGGUGUGGGAGUUGUCUAAUAGACAUGUGCGCAGCAGCGCAAAGUAUGUGGUGUCUAAAGUGCAUGAUAUCUAUUUGAAAAAUGCUUGAGCGAGGUUGUGUUAUGGGGCCGGACCCAUGGUCAUCUUAUGGAAGAGCAAUUAUGAUGUUGCAGUCGAUCUGCGUUAAAGCUAAUUCUGCAUAAAAGAUCGUCUUCUCGAUUAGAACAGUGGAAGGGCAAUGUAUUUGUGCUCAGUCUUGCAAUGUGGAAGACUUCUUGCUUUGCAUCUUUGAAAGAAGGAUGCUGACCAGUGGUCCUCUGUUUGGAGAAGGCAGCUUCGAAUUACUGACCUGUAUGGACGUGAUGGCAUGGGACAGCCUCGUUUGAGACUAGAUGCUAGAGAAAUAAUUUUUAGAGAGGCCAAGCCAGCAGAAGAUACAACUGAAUUGUUUAGGGAAUGUUCUGUAAUUGGCUUUUUUAAGAUGAUUUCACGCCUAUUUGAUUGGAAAUGUUAUCAGAUUUACUGGAUUUUUAUGUCAAUGCAUCAGGAAAUGCUAGACAGGAUUUGCGGUGGCGUUGCCUCGCUCUCACCUCUUUGAUUUAUAGGUGUAAAGAAGCUGGGAACGUUGGUGAUACUGAUGCACUUGAAACUUUGUUUAAAAUGCCCAAAUAGAAUAUGGCGUCACCGGCUGCUACUAUUUGGUAGUGAACAGAGAAUUGCUAGAAAAUAAGCUGUAUAGUUGUCUGUGGUGUUGAAAGCAAAACAUGUUAUUCAACGGUUUGCAGUAUUUCCAAUUAUUUUGCUGGCCUGAAAUAUAGUUCACGUAAUGAACUGUAGGUAUAAAACUGAAAACUUUGUGUGGUUGAUGGAGGGCCACAUAUGGAUCAGUCAAAAAUGCCUUUCUGAUAUUUGAGAAAGAGGAGAUUGAGUCCUGUGAGAUGUAUUGUAGGACAUACUUGACUGGACCCUCGUUUAUGGUUUUGGACUUUGGAGAAAUGGUAGUAAGACAUCAAGCUUUUAAAAGUAUUUGAUAGUUCUGUCCUAGUACUCUGAAUAUGGUCUGAAGUCAGGUUGCCACAGAGGAGGAUGACCUCCGAAUCGUGAAUGGAGCAGAAACAGAUCUUGUCCUAAUUUACUGCUUGAAGUCCUCUGUGGAUGUAGUUGAAGGCAAUAAAGGAAAUUUGGAGGACUAUACUUGGUCAUUGUUGGAGUUCUGGACAGCAUAAUAUAGAUUGCAGUUCUAUGCGAACACUUCAUUGGUUAUCAAAGUUUGAACAUGUCUGCAAGCAACAAAGCAUGGAUUAAUUCCACAUAAGAAUCAUUGGGCAUGUAUGGCUGUUGAUCUUCAUUAAACUGGUCAUUUAUGUGCAUUGCAGAAGCUUACCAACGUAAGCAUAAUUCUUUCGGAUGCAAUAAUGCCUUCCCUGCUUAGUGCCUGCAAAUUCAUGGCAAUCAUGAGAUAGGAAGCAUGUGGCAUCAAUGCUUUACUCAACAUUAGGAACUCUUGCUACCAGGGGUUUUCUUGGAUAUGUCUCCAGAGCUUCAAAAUUGUGCAAAGUUUUUAGAAGCAAGGAGUUUGAAAGGACAGUUCAGCUGGCAUUCAUCUGGCUUUACGUUGGAAGCUAAGUGCGUGCAGUCAUGGAAAAUAUUUUAUCCGGUCUUAAGUGGAAGUGGAUAUGCAUAUCCUUAAAAGUUCUUGAAAAACAAAGAACCUGUAUUGGAUGGACUCUUCAAUGUUCUUGAAACACGUAAUUAGUUCUGGAUGAUUUUGGACGCUUGUUAGUUUGGAUAGUUGAGGUGAAGGUGUCAUGUAACUGCUGCAAUGUUUACUUAAUGAUUAGUUCCCAAAUUUUUUCUGA